AACGAACGCUGGCGGCAUGCCUAACACAUGCAAGUCGAACGGCAGCUUCGGGUGUAUUUGCGCUCGCGGGCGUCACGCGGCGGAAGCGUCCCGUAUGGUCGGGAUAACUCCCCUAAGGGGGUGCUAAUACCGGGUAAUUUCUGCUGACCAAAGAUUUAUCGCCUUUGUGUGGGCGCGCGUUGGAUUAGCUAGUUGGUAGGGUAAAAGCCUACCAAGGCGUCGAUCCUUAGCUGGGCUGAGAGGAUGGGCAGCCACACUGGGACUGAGACCCGGCUCAGACUCCUACGGGAGGCAGCAGUGGGGAAUCUUGCACAAUGGGCGAAAGCCUGAUGGAGCAAGGCCGCGUGAGUGAUGAAGGCCUGAGGGUUGUAAAGCUCUUUUACACGGGAUGAUUAUGACGGUACCGAAAGAAUAAGCACCGGCUAACUACGUG
RNAcentral lists this ribosomal RNA (433 nucleotides) under uncultured bacterium. RNAcentral describes it as "partial 16S ribosomal RNA". It matches the Rfam family "Bacterial small subunit ribosomal RNA", at positions 29 to 507 of the family's 1533-position model. The record is from RNAcentral.